This 322-nucleotide long non-coding RNA is filed under the name Capra hircus (goat). RNAcentral describes it as "lncRNA (ENSCHIG00000002562.1)". The record is from RNAcentral. Lineage: Eukaryota; Metazoa; Chordata; Mammalia; Artiodactyla; Bovidae.
UAAUAGCUUUCUUAUUGAUUUAUAAGGUUUUGGUGUUAUGUGUCUUUUUUUUUUUUUUAAGACAGGAAGAAUGAGUCUUGGAAAAGAGAAGAAAAUCAUUAUGAAAAAUCAGCCCAGGCAUAGAAGUCAAUUCAGACAGAGCUUGGGAGUGCUGCUAAAUAUGAGCAGGACUUGGCAUCUGGACACCUCAAACUGUCAGGUAUAUCCCAUGAAGAACUACAGCUGUUCUCUCUGAUAACUGGAGAAAUAAAGAGCAAGAAGCAGCUAGACACUUGGAGUCAGCAAGAGACAAAGCACUGUUCUCAUGUUAAUUACACAGGGC